UGUUGGGCUUGAGUGUGGUAGGGGCAGAGGGAAUUCCCGGUGUAGCGGUGAAAUGCGUAGAUAUCGGGAAGAACACCAGUGGCGAAGGCGCUCUGCUGGGCCAUAACUGACGCUCAUGGACGAAAGCCAGGGGAGCGAAAGGGAUUAGAUACCCCUGUAGUCCUGGCCGUAAACGAUGAACACUAGGUGUCGGGGGAAUCGACCCCCUCGGUGUCGUAGCCAACGCGUUAAGUGUUCCGCCUGGGGAGUACGCACGCAAGUGUGAAACUCAAAGGAAUUGACGGGGGCCCGCACAAGCGGUGGAGUAUGUGGUUUAAUUCGAUGCAACGCGAAGAACCUUACCAGGGUUUGACAUCCUGCGAACCUCUAAGAAAUUGGAGGGUGCCUUCGGGAACGCAGUGACAGGUGGUGCAUGGCUGUCGUCAGCUCGUGUCGUGAGAUGUUGGGUUAAGUCCCGCAACGAGCGCAACCCACGUUUUUAGUUGCCAGCAUUCAGUUGGGCACUCUAGAGAGACCGCCGGUGAUAAACCGGAGGAAGGUGUGGAUGACGUCAAGUCAUCAUGCCCCUUACAUCCUGGGCUACACACGUACUACAAUGCUACGGACAAAGGGCAGCAAACUCGCGAGAGCUAGCAAAUCCCAUAAACCGUGGCUCAGUUCAGAUCGUAGGCUGCAACUCGCCUACGUGAAGGAGGAAUCGCUAGUAAUCGCAGGUCAGCAUACUGCGGUGAAUACGUUCCCGGGCCUUGUACACACCGCCCGUCACACCAUGGAAGUUGGCCACGCCCGAAGUCGUUACUCCAACCCUUGUGGAGGAGGACGCCGAAGGUGGG
RNAcentral lists this ribosomal RNA (833 nucleotides) under uncultured Prochlorococcus sp. RNAcentral's name for it is "bacterial SSU rRNA". It matches the Rfam family "Bacterial small subunit ribosomal RNA", at positions 634 to 1466 of the family's 1533-position model. The record is from RNAcentral. RNAcentral also lists the same sequence under 1 other name. Lineage: Bacteria; Bacillati; Cyanobacteriota; Cyanophyceae; Synechococcales; Prochlorococcaceae.